RNAcentral lists this ribosomal RNA (274 nucleotides) under uncultured bacterium. Its description in RNAcentral is "partial 16S ribosomal RNA". It matches the Rfam family "Bacterial small subunit ribosomal RNA", at positions 523 to 796 of the family's 1533-position model. The record is from RNAcentral.
AUACGGAGGGUGCAAGCGUUGUUCGGAAUUACUGGGCGUAAAGCGCGUGUAGGCGGCUUGGUAAGUCGGAUGUGAAAGCCCGGAGCUCAACUCCGGAACGGCAUCCGAAACUGCCUCGCUAGAGUCCCGGAGAGGAAGGCAGAAUUCCCAGUGUAGGGGUGAAAUCCGUAGAUAUUAGGAGGAAUACCAGUGGCGAAGGCGACUUCCUGGGCCAAUACUGACGCUGAGGCGCGAGAGCGUGGGGAGCAAACAGGAUUAGAAACCCCAGUAGUCC